Molecule: ribosomal RNA, 253 nt
Filed under: uncultured bacterium
Lineage: Bacteria
Description: partial 16S ribosomal RNA
Rfam family: Bacterial small subunit ribosomal RNA
Source: RNAcentral
CACGUAGGGGACGAGCGUUGUCCGGAUUUAUUGGGCGUAAAGAGCUCGUAGGCGGCUCGUCGCGUCGACCGUGAAAACCCGCAGCUUAACUGCGGGCUUGCGGUUGAUACGGGCGGGCUAGAGUUCGGUAGGGGAGACUGGAAUUCCUGGUGUAGCGGUGAAAUGCGCAGAUAUCAGGAGGAACACCGGUGGCGAAGGCGGGUCUCUGGGCCGAUACUGACGCUGAGGAGCGAAAGCGUGGGGAGCGAACAGG